RNAcentral lists this ribosomal RNA (465 nucleotides) under uncultured bacterium. RNAcentral describes it as "partial 16S ribosomal RNA". It matches the Rfam family "Bacterial small subunit ribosomal RNA", at positions 339 to 795 of the family's 1533-position model. The record is from RNAcentral.
CUACGGGAUGCUGCAGUGGGGAAUAUUGCACAAUGGGCGCAAGCCUGAUGCAGCCAUGCCGCGUGUAUGAAGAAGGCCUUCGGGUUGUAAAGUACUUUCAGCGGGGAGGAAGGGAGUAAAGUUAAUACCUUUGCUCAUUGACGUUACCCGCAGAAGAAGCACCGGCGAACUCCGUGCCAGCAGCCGCGGUAAUAGCGGAGGGUGCAAGCGUUAAUCGGAAUUACUGGGCGUAAAGCGCACGCAGGCGGUUUGUUAAGUCAGAUGUGAAAUCCCCGGGCUCAACCUGGGAACUGCAUCUGAUACUGGCAAGCUUGAGUCUCGUAGAGGGGGGUAGAAUUCCAGGUGUAGCGGUGAAAUGCGUAGAGAUCUGGAGGAAUACCGGUGGCGAAGGCGGCCCCCUGGACGAAGACUGACGCUCAGGUGCGAAAGCGUGGGGAGCAAACAGGAUUAGAUACCCUUGUAGUC